UUAAAUUGAUACUUAAUUUUUUGUUUCCCUUUAUAAUCAGUUUAUAUAAUACAAAUGCAACUGCAACAAAUCUAUAAAUACUGGAAAUUUUAUUAUAUCAUGUCAUACUUAUUAUUGAUUUGAUCGAUAAUCAUCACUGCUCUGCAAAAUUCUGGUAAAGAUGUCGAAAAUAUUUUCGUUGAUAAUUUUUUCCUUAAUUGGAUUGUUAAUUUUGAUUGGCCAGGAAGUCACAGGGUGUGAGGGCGAUUGGUGCCAUUCUUUUCGAGGUUACCGUUGCUGCGAGGGUCAUGUAUGUCUGUCAAGCGUUCUAUGGGCUGGACAAUGUCUUACAAAAGAAGACUAUUAUAAAAAAGUAUACGUUCCAAUAAGUGGAUAACGUUUAUAAUUUUUAAUAAAAAACGGUGAUCAAUUACUUGAAAAAAAUUGCUGCUAAAUGAAAUUUCCUUAAUUUGAGUAUAAUAGAUUUUAUUCCUUUUCGUUUUGAAAAUUAACAAAAAUAUUACUAAUUCAAACAUUGUAUCUAAUAGAAACAAAAAUUACA
This is a long non-coding RNA of Microplitis mediator, 541 nucleotides long. RefSeq lists it as uncharacterized. The record is from RefSeq and is a predicted model, not a curated record. Lineage: Eukaryota; Metazoa; Arthropoda; Insecta; Hymenoptera; Braconidae. The transcript is spliced from 2 exons.